UACGGGGGGAGCAAGCGUUGUUCGGAUUUACUGGGCGUAAAGGGCGCGUAGGCGGUCAGCACAAGUCAGUUGUGAAAUCUCCGAGCUUAACUCGGAAAGGUCAACUGAUACUGUGCGACUAGAGUGCAGAAGGGGCAACUGGAAUUCUUGGUGUAGCGGUGAAAUGCGUAGAUAUCAAGAGGAACACCUGCGGCGAAGGCGGGUUGCUGGGCUGACACUGACGCUGAAGCGCGAAAGCCAGGGGAGCGAACGGG
This 254-nucleotide ribosomal RNA is filed under the name uncultured bacterium. RNAcentral's name for it is "partial 16S ribosomal RNA". It matches the Rfam family "Bacterial small subunit ribosomal RNA", at positions 524 to 776 of the family's 1533-position model. The record is from RNAcentral.